AUGACACAACCCAAGGGAAUGGGAGGUCUGGGUUUCAAAGAUUUCGAACUCUUCAACUUGUCCAUGCUCGCCAAGCAGGCGUGGCGCUUGCUGCAAGACCCAGAGUCGCUGAGUGCCCGAGUGUUGAAAAGUGUAUACUACCCGUCAUCUGAUAUACUCCAGGCUGAAUUGGGAGGCCAUACGAGCCAGGUAUGGCGGGCCAUUAUAGAGGGAAGGGAUGUCCUGAAGCAAGGUUUGAUAAAGGGAAUUGGGAAUGGAGCAGAUACAAACAUAUGGACCGAGAACUGGUUACCCAGAGAGGAAAUGAUUCGUCCCUACGGGAGUAUCUCGCCAAACCCACCAACACAUGUGUCGGAGCUCAUAACUACUGUGACCGCUUCGUGGAAUAGACAGCUUGUCCAACAAACGUUUAUGCCCAUCGAUGCUACAGUUAUACUUGGUAUGCCGAUAUGCACUCAAAACAUCACAUAUUUUUGGGCAUGGUUUCAUGAGAAAAAUGGUACUUUCACUGUUAAAUCAGCAUAUAAGAUGCUAGUAGCUACCAGAAACAGGAGAGAAGCGUGGUUGUAA
This 570-nucleotide ribosomal RNA is filed under the name Triticum aestivum (bread wheat). Its description in RNAcentral is "partial small subunit ribosomal RNA". Lineage: Eukaryota; Viridiplantae; Streptophyta; Magnoliopsida; Poales; Poaceae. The record is from RNAcentral.